UUGGACUGUGUUUAAAGUAAAUAGUCUGGAUUGAUGAAAGUUGCAUUCGAGAAUUCAUCAACAGGCAUUUACUUCAACUGCAGUUUGAA
RNAcentral lists this microRNA precursor (89 nucleotides) under Drosophila simulans. Its description in RNAcentral is "microRNA dsi-mir-987 precursor". Its record names the gene dsi-mir-987. It matches the Rfam family "mir-987 microRNA precursor family". Lineage: Eukaryota; Metazoa; Arthropoda; Insecta; Diptera; Drosophilidae. The record is from miRBase by way of RNAcentral.